UUGUUGUGUUAUAUGACUAUCUUAGAGAUAGUACAUUGCCUGCAACCAAACAGAUUGGAGGAUAUUUGUCUUUAUUUCAGACUUGGAUUUAUGAACAUUUUCCUGAUAUUUGUAAACGGGAUAUGGAUGAACAUAUUUCCUCGAUGCCACAGAUGUUUCGUUGGACUGCAAAACAAACAUCUGAGAAUGUUGCAUAUUACAGGGCAAAGUUGGAUGCUUUGAGGGAUACAGAUAUUAUCUGGGCACCAGAUUACGAUGAGAACGCUGUGACACGAUUUCAGUCUGUGUCAUUAUUUACAGGAUACAUUCGUUGGUGUUUCACGAUGGUUCCGUAUUUACCUGAGAGGUGCAUACGACAGUUUGGGUAUACUCAACACAUUCCUCCUACACCACCGAUGCUUGUUGCACGUGAUGUCGACGUUGAAU
Molecule: non-coding RNA, 426 nt
Organism: Cicer arietinum (chickpea)
Lineage: Eukaryota; Viridiplantae; Streptophyta; Magnoliopsida; Fabales; Fabaceae
Source: RefSeq, a predicted model, not a curated record